UACGAAGGGUGCUAGCGUUGUUCGGAAUCACUGGGCGUAAAGCGCGCGUAGGUGGCUAUGCAAGUCAGAGGUGAAAGCCUGGAGCUCAACUCCAGAACUGCCUUUGAAACUGCAUAGCUAGAGUGUCGGAGGGGAUAGCGGAAUUGCUAAUGUAGAGGUGAAAUUCGUAGAUAUUAGCAGGAACACCGGUGGCGAAGGCGGCUAUCUGGACGACAACUGACACUGAGGCGCGAAAGCGUGGGGAUCAAACAGG
This 253-nucleotide ribosomal RNA is filed under the name uncultured bacterium. Its description in RNAcentral is "partial 16S ribosomal RNA". It matches the Rfam family "Bacterial small subunit ribosomal RNA", at positions 524 to 776 of the family's 1533-position model. The record is from RNAcentral.